Molecule: long non-coding RNA, 1000 nt
Organism: Haplochromis burtoni (Burton's mouthbrooder)
Lineage: Eukaryota; Metazoa; Chordata; Actinopteri; Cichliformes; Cichlidae
Exons: 4
Source: RefSeq, a predicted model, not a curated record
CAGGCUCGAGCAGAAUACGUGGUAAUCCAUUUUCUCAUCAUACAAAGUUCUGUUGUUCCACUGGCUGCCUUUUCACACUGGAGUUUGUUUUUUGGAAGCCCUCAGAGAAGGAAGAAUCAGACUUCAACUGUCCAGACUCAGGACUGAUGACUCGAGUCAGUAGCUGUGUGAGGUGACAACUAGUGACAACUAAAAUAACAAAUUCCAUUCCCCCGCAUGCUCCAGAGUAGUGGUAUGACCCAAUUUGCAGAUUUCCACAUAGGCUUGCUCUGACUGUUUUCCACCUUUUAGCUCAUCAACCAAGGAACUGGGAGCAGCUGCCACUGAGCCAGACUUCAGGAAUAAAGUCAAUUUUCGCAUAAUCAAUAGUAGAUAAGUUUAAAGGACUGCCAUGGCACAGGAUAUAUGGAUGCGUGGUUAGCCCUGGCAGAACUCAUAGUUAGCAACUGGAUUUCUGGAGCAGUGUCUACGCAAUGUCAUGAAAAAGGCUUCUUCUAUCAGGAAGAAGAAUUCACUAAAGGACCAAUAGAAGAUAAUUUGUUUCUGCUUUUUGCAGCAGUCUAAAGUCUGUUGAUGGCAGCUUCAAAGCAUUUUUUGUUUUUGAUGCAAGUUACCCAAAGUGACACGCCCAGGUUUCGGAAUUCCUUCACACUGUCAUCUAUCCCAGGACAUGAAUCAAAUAUGUUGAUCAUAAAGGUGCAUGAAAUGAUCUGAGAGGGAGAUGCCCUCUUGCCACUUUUCCAAAGUGUUGAUGUAUGUUAAGUACUGAGAUAAUCAUCAAUUCAUCAGUUUUUUUUUUUAAAGUUCUGAGUUUUUACAUGUAAUUUGUUCUUGUGUAUUAACAUGUACAUGUGCUGUAGCCAAAGACUGAUUUGAAGUAAUCGAUAUAAUAUAAUGAAUUAUAUACUUUUUUUUUUGUUACUUGCAUUUUACUUUCAUUGAUUUAUUUUUCAUCAAUGUUGCUGUCUAUGUUCAUAUGUUCAUGUAUCAUAUGGCAAUA